GACUCUGUAGCUCAUGCAGUUGGUCAAAGCGCUGCUCCGGAAUCGCAGGGCUGCAGGCUCGAUUCCUGCCAGGGACC
This is a non-coding RNA of Paramuricea clavata, 77 nucleotides long. The record is from the annotation of a GenBank genome assembly. NCBI's taxonomy places the organism in Eukaryota, Metazoa, Cnidaria, Anthozoa, Malacalcyonacea, Plexauridae.